GCACAAGCGGUGGAGCAUGUGGAUUAAUUCGAUGCAACGCGAAGAACCUUACCUGGGUUUGACAUGCACAGGACGCCGGCAGAGAUGUCGGUUCCCUUGUGGCCUGUGUGCAGGUGGUGCAUGGCUGUCGUCAGCUCGUGUCGUGAGAUGUUGGGUUAAGUCCCGCAACGAGCGCAACCCUUGUCCCAUGUUGCCAGCACGUAAUGGUGGGGACUCAUGGGAGACUGCCGGGGUCAACUCGGAGGAAGGUGGGGACGACGUCAAGUCAUCAUGCCCCUUAUGUCCAGGGCUUCACACAUGCUACAAUGGCCGGUACAGAGGGCUGCGAGACCGCAAGGUGGAGCGAAUCUCUUAAAGCCGGUCUCAGUUCGGAUCGGGGUCUGCAACUCGACCCCGUGAAGUCGGAGUCGCUAGUAAUCGCAGAUCAGCAACGCUGCGGUGAAUACGUUCCCGGGC
RNAcentral lists this ribosomal RNA (456 nucleotides) under uncultured bacterium. RNAcentral describes it as "bacterial SSU rRNA". It matches the Rfam family "Bacterial small subunit ribosomal RNA", at positions 923 to 1379 of the family's 1533-position model. The record is from RNAcentral.